RNAcentral lists this ribosomal RNA (442 nucleotides) under uncultured bacterium. Its description in RNAcentral is "partial 16S ribosomal RNA". It matches the Rfam family "Bacterial small subunit ribosomal RNA", at positions 338 to 795 of the family's 1533-position model. The record is from RNAcentral.
CCUACGGGAGGCAGCAGUGGGGGAUAUUGGACAAUGGGGGGAACCCUGAUCCAGCGACGCCGCGUGAGUGAAGAAGUAUUUCGGUAUGUAAAGCUCUGUCAGCAGGGAAGAAAGAAAUGACGUUACCUGACCAAGAAGCCCGGGCUAACUACGUGCCAGCAGCCGCGGUAAUACGGAAGGCCCGAGCGUUAUCGGGAUUCAUUGGGCUUAAAGGGGGCGUAGGCGGGCGUUCAAGUCAGCUGGAAAAUCUCGGGGCUAAACCGCGCACCGCAGUUGAAACUGGACGCCUUGAGUUCACAACAGGCAGGCGGAAUUCGUGGUGUAGCGGUGAAAUGCAUAGAUAUCACGAGGAACCCCGAUUGCGAAGGCAGCCUGCCGGGGUGCGACUGACGCUGAGGCUCGAAGGUGCGGGUAUCAAACAGGAUUAGAUACCCGUGUAGUC